CCCCCGUUUGACUCCUGGUCCUCAGAGCGCCCUGCCAACAGAGCCACCGGAUGAGACAGAGGGUCUCUGCACCCACCGCCUACACACUACCUAAAAUGUUACAACAACUAUCCCUCCAUGUUCGCUCUGUCACACACACAGACAGAGACAGGUAGACACACACAGAGACAGACACAGGUAGACACACACAGAGACAGGUAGACACACACAGACACAGGUAGACACACACAGACACAGGUAGACACACACAGACACACACAGACACAGGUAGACACACACAGACACAGGUAGACACACACAGACACAGGUAGACACACACAGACACAGGUAGACACACACAGACACAGGUAGACACAGACAGAGACAGACAGGUAGACACACACACACAGACAGACAGGUAGACACACAGACAGACACACACAGACAGACAGACACACACAGACACACACAGACAGACACACACACACA
Oncorhynchus tshawytscha (Chinook salmon) is the source of this 468-nucleotide long non-coding RNA. The record is from Ensembl. Lineage: Eukaryota; Metazoa; Chordata; Actinopteri; Salmoniformes; Salmonidae.